UACGUAGGGUGCGAGCGUUGUCCGGAAUUAUUGGGCGUAAAGAGCUCGUAGGCGGUCUGUCGCGUCUGCUGUGAAAUCCCGAGGCUCAACCUCGGGCUUGCAGUGGGUACGGGCAGGCUAGAGUGCGGUAGGAGAGAAUGGAACUCCUGGUGUAGCGGUGGAAUGCGCAGAUAUCAGGAAGAACACCGAUGGCGAAGGCAGUUCUCUGGGCCGUAACUGAC
This 221-nucleotide ribosomal RNA is filed under the name uncultured bacterium. Its description in RNAcentral is "partial 16S ribosomal RNA". It matches the Rfam family "Bacterial small subunit ribosomal RNA", at positions 524 to 744 of the family's 1533-position model. The record is from RNAcentral.